UAGGGAAUAUUGGACAAUGGGUGAGAGCCUGAUCCAGCCAUGCCGCGUGCAGGAAGAAGGCCUUCUGGGUCGUAAACUGCUUUUUUCUGUGGAUAAAAGAUCCCUGCGGGGAUAAUUGAAGGUAACAGAGGAAUAAGCCACGGCUAACUACGUG
Molecule: ribosomal RNA, 154 nt
Filed under: uncultured bacterium
Lineage: Bacteria
Description: partial 16S ribosomal RNA
Rfam family: Bacterial small subunit ribosomal RNA
Source: RNAcentral